AAGACGACAAACGUGCAUAAUUUCUAAAAACGAUUUGGAAAGAAGAAAAACACUUAAAAGAUAAUUAAGCAACGCUUGCUCAUUAUUAUCCAUCAAUCCGGCGGCGCAGACGAAACAAAUCGUGGAAAUAUAAUACGUAUUGAAACAGAUUAGUCAGACUGCAGUGUGUCUCAAUUGUGUGAGAAGUGUCUUCGGGCAGUUUAAUAGCUUGCAAAAAGCAUUGUUCAAGAUGGAAUCAAAAUGUUUGAUCAUUACUAUCCUGUGCAGUCUCGUGGCUUUACAAAUGUCCUCAGUUGAAGGUGUUUGCUACAGCUACGUGUGCCGAAGGCGUUGUGUGUACCGGGCGCCAUUGUAUGAGGAGUAUGCUUUUCGAUACCUGUGGCCGAGGGUUUGCGGCAGGCGGGCUGUCAGGCGCUUCGGCAUGAAAGCAUGCUGUAGGACUUGGGGCGUUUAUUAGGGCAUAUUGCUUGGUAUGAAGAUAUUCAUGAUUCUUAAAAUGAGGUCGAGGGCGAGCACUUGAAAUGCAGUGACACAUUUGUAACUGAUAUUUUAAAUAAAUUCUUUGUUUUCUUUGAAAGAGU
This is a long non-coding RNA of Ruditapes philippinarum (Manila clam), 581 nucleotides long. RefSeq lists it as uncharacterized. The record is from RefSeq and is a predicted model, not a curated record. NCBI's taxonomy places the organism in Eukaryota, Metazoa, Mollusca, Bivalvia, Venerida, Veneridae. The transcript has 3 exons.